RNAcentral lists this ribosomal RNA (205 nucleotides) under uncultured bacterium. RNAcentral's name for it is "partial 16S ribosomal RNA". It matches the Rfam family "Bacterial small subunit ribosomal RNA", at positions 568 to 774 of the family's 1533-position model. The record is from RNAcentral.
CACGCAGGCGGUCUGUCAAGUCGGAUGUGAAAUCCCCGGGCUCAACCUGGGAACUGCAUUCGAAACUGGCAGGCUGGAGUCUUGUAGAGGGGGUAGAAUUCCAGGUGUAGCGGUGAAAUGCGUAGAGAUCUGGAGGAAUACCGGUGGCGAAGGCGGCCCCUGGACAAAGACUGACGCUCAGGUGCGAAAGCGUGGGGAGCAAACA